This 747-nucleotide ribosomal RNA is filed under the name uncultured bacterium. RNAcentral's name for it is "bacterial SSU rRNA". It matches the Rfam family "Bacterial small subunit ribosomal RNA", at positions 33 to 775 of the family's 1533-position model. The record is from RNAcentral.
ACGCUGGCGGCAGGCCUAACACAUGCAAGUCGAGCGGUAGAGAGAAGCUUGCUUCUCUUGAGAGCGGCGGACGGGUGAGUAAUGCCUAGGAAUCUGCCUGGUAGUGGGGGAUAACGUUCGGAAACGGACGCUAAUACCGCAUACGUCCUACGGGAGAAAGCAGGGGACCUUCGGGCCUUGCGCUAUCAGAUGAGCCUAGGUCGGAUUAGCUAGUUGGUGAGGUAAUGGCUCACCAAGGCGACGAUCCGUAACUGGUCUGAGAGGAUGAUCAGUCACACUGGAACUGAGACACGGUCCAGACUCCUACGGGAGGCAGCAGUGGGGAAUAUCGGACAAUGGGCGAAAGCCUGAUCCAGCCAUGCCGCGUGUGUGAAGAAGGUCUUCGGAUUGUAAAGCACUUUAAGUUGGGAGGAAGGGCAGUAAAUUAAUACUUUGCUGUUUUGACGUUACCGACAGAAUAAGCACCGGCUAACUCUGUGCCAGCAGCCGCGGUAAUACAGAGGGUGCAAGCGUUAAUCGGAAUUACUGGGCGUAAAGCGCGCGUAGGUGGUUUGUUAAGUUGGAUGUGAAAUCCCCGGGCUCAACCUGGGAACUGCAUUCAAAACUGACUGACUAGAGUAUGGUAGAGGGUGGUGGAAUUUCCUGUGUAGCGGUGAAAUGCGUAGAUAUAGGAAGGAACACCAGUGGCGAAGGCGACCACCUGGACUGAUACUGACACUGAGGUGCGAAAGCGUGGGGAGCAAACAG